RNA transcript from Rosa chinensis, 2060 nucleotides. RefSeq lists it as uncharacterized. NCBI's taxonomy places the organism in Eukaryota, Viridiplantae, Streptophyta, Magnoliopsida, Rosales, Rosaceae. The record is from RefSeq and is a predicted model, not a curated record. The transcript is spliced from 4 exons.
UAUUAGAUUCUGUGGCCGAUAUCUUCUUAUAGUUGUCUUACAUGCUUGAUAGUAUUCAGUACCUCCCGAGUGAUGGCCCGACUGCAGCGGUUCCCCAUCGUAUACUCUUCGGUGCUGACGUACCAAUCAAGUAUGUAAGAUAGUUGUUGUUGGUAUAAAUAUUUUGGUGUAACUCAGUUAUGGGAAUUUCAGGUGGAAUGAGACCCGGACGCAGAUCUCGUGCUAGUAGUGACCCUUUACCCACUGGUGAGGGUGAUGAUGAGCAGGUCCCUCGUGGGUUGCUACGGACCAUGGAGCAGUUGUUUGAGUGUUUUACAGCGGCACUCCCAAAUCCUAGGACUGACUAUACUGUGGAGCGUGCCAGACGCCAUGGGGCGUAUACUUUCUCUAGUGCUCCUACGGAGUCUGUAGCAGGAGACUGGAUUACCCGUAUGGAGAGAGUAUUUGAGUCCUUGGGUUGUCCAGCUGCUAGGAGGGUUCCUUUGGCUAUUGACCUCCUAGACGGGGAUGCAUGGCUUUGGUGGCAGGGUACCAGGAAUAUGGGUUUUGACCCAACUACCAUGACUUGGGAAGAGUUCAAAACGGAGUUCUCAAAUUGGUACUAUAAUCAGGCAUCCCAGCACCGUCUCCGAUUUGAUUUCAUGCAGUUGAAGCAGACUGAAGAGAUGACUGUGUUGCAGUAUGAGGAGCGUUUCAUUGCUUUGUCUCGGUUUGCCCCUGGGUUGGUGGCGACAGAAAAGUUGAAGGUUGAUCAGUUUAUCAAUGGCCUCCUACCUAUAUAUCGAGAUUGGUUGGCGCCUCAUGAUUAUCCGACUUUUAAGUUAGCUGUGGAGGCUUCUAUGAGGUGUGAGGCUAGAUAUCUGGACGGUUCCCGACCUUUGGAGAUUGGCGGUCCUAGUCAGGGGCCAUCUAAGAGAAUUGCCUCUAGUUCGGGUUCUGCAUCGUCAUCAGGCAGUAGGCCGAGCAGUUCAGAUUCUAGCUCUCGUCAGCGUUUCAGGGGACGCUUCAGGAGGCCUGGACAGACAGGUAGGAGACAGUUCAGGGGUGGCACUGCUAGUUCCAGUGGAGGCUUUGGUAGACAGGCGAUUCCGAGAGACUAUCCCCAGUGUGCUACUUGUGGUAGGCACCAUGUGGGCCCGUGUCAGGCAGGUGUGGGGACUUGUUACCAGUGUGGCCAGUGGGGUCACUACAGGAGAGAAUGCCCUCAGUUGACCCAGGGAGUCUUCACUACUACUAGUCAGAGUAUGGGUCAGACCUCUGUGGGUGCUACUAGUUCGGGUUCUCAUGGCAGUUUGUCAGGCAGGAGCAGCACACAGCCGGGUCGUGGACAGAGAGGGCGUCCAGUGACCCAGGCCCGUCUUCAUGCUAUGACCCAGCAGGAGGGUCGCACUGCACCGAACGUCAUUAUGGGACGUACUGAGCCCUCGAGCGAGGAGGACACAGACAGGCAGCAGGGUUAGCUGCGGGAUUUACUUGAAGCAAAUCCUGAGGUUUUAAGAGAAGGUCAGAAACGGAUGAUGGCAUUGUUCCAUGAGCAAGUGUUUUUCAGUCUGAUUGAAUCACUUCUGAAGUUUGAGGAACAAUUGCCCAAGAUCUGGUGGAGACCAAAACCUGUUCUUCUUGGACUUUGUGAGCCCAACAAAGUUUGACAACAGCUACUUCAAAACUUAUUGGCUAACAAGGGCCUGCUUAACUCUGACCAAGUUCUUGUUACAAAGAGUGAAGUAGCCAAGCAAUUGGUUCAGCAAUAUGCAGUGAACAACGAGCUUUUCCUCGAGCAAUUUGCCAAGUCCAUGAUUAAGAUGGGGAAUCCUUCACCAAUUACAGGUUCAAGGGGAGAGAUCAGAAAGAAUUGCAGGAAGGUCAACUACUCUUGAUUAGACUAUGAUUUCUAGGUCACUAGAAGUUGACAUGUAGUACAUGAUGAUCAUCAUGGGGUGUUCUAUUACCUUCUCUAUGUUUUUGAAGUUCUUGUUUCCAGUAUUUAGCUUUUAUAUCAGUCAGAGAUGUACUCUUCUUUGGUUAUUCUCAUUAAUAAAAGUAUCGUCAAUUUUCGAAAA